AGGCUUAGGAUAAUUAGACCAAAGGCCUUCAAAGCCUUAAGCAGAAGCUCAACCCUUCUAGCCUUUG
This 67-nucleotide transfer RNA is filed under the name Eurycea cf. troglodytes 'Finnegan Spring'. Its description in RNAcentral is "tRNA-Trp". It matches the Rfam family "tRNA". Rfam says of the family: Transfer RNA (tRNA) molecules are approximately 80 nucleotides in length. Their secondary structure includes four short double-helical elements and three loops (D, anti-codon, and T loops). The record is from RNAcentral. Lineage: Eukaryota; Metazoa; Chordata; Amphibia; Caudata; Plethodontidae.